CCAGACUCCUACGGGAGGCAGCAGUGAGGAAUAUUGGUCAAUGGGCGUAAGCCUGAACCAGCCAAGUCGCGUGAGGGACGACGGCCCUACGGGUUGUAAACCUCUUUUGCCGGGGGACAAACGGCGGCACGCGUGCCGUCCUGAGGGUACCCGGAGAAAAAGCAUCGGCUAACUCCGUGCCAGCAGCCGCGGUAAUACGUAGGGAGCGAGCGUUGUCCGGAAUUACUGGGCGUAAAGGGCGCGUAGGCGGGAACUUAAGUUAGAUGUGAAAACUCCGGGCUUAACCUGGAGACUGCAUUUAAAACUGGGUUUCUUGAGGGCAGGAGAGGAAAGUGGAAUUCCUAGUGUAGCGGUGAAAUGCGUAGAUAUUAGGAGGAACACCAGUGGCGAAGGCGACUUUCUGGACUGUACCUGACGCUGAGGCGCGAAAGCAUGGGGAGCGAACAGGAUUAGAUACCCGGGUACGC
RNAcentral lists this ribosomal RNA (467 nucleotides) under uncultured bacterium. Its description in RNAcentral is "bacterial SSU rRNA". It matches the Rfam family "Bacterial small subunit ribosomal RNA", at positions 331 to 794 of the family's 1533-position model. The record is from RNAcentral.